CAAUAGCGUAUAUUAAAGUUGUUGCAGUUAAAAAGCUCGUAGUUGGAUUUGUGGCGUACGGUGUGUUCCGGGCACUUGUUGUCUGAGUAACCUGCUGUUGCCAUCCUUGGGUGGAACCUGUGUGGCAUUAGGUUGUCGUGCAGGGGAUGCCCAUCGUUUACUGUGAAAAAAUUAGAGUGUUCAAAGCAGGCUUAUGCCGUUGAAUAUAUUAGCAUGGAAUAAUGAGAUAGGACUUUUUCGCUAUUUUGUUGGUUUGCGCGAAGAGGUAAUGAUUAAUAGGGACAGUUGGGGGUAUUCGUAUUCCAUUGUCAGAGGUGAAAUUCUUGGAUUUUUGGAAGACGAACUACUGCGAAAGCAUUUACCAAGGAUGUUUUCAUUAA
RNAcentral lists this ribosomal RNA (380 nucleotides) under uncultured eukaryote. Its description in RNAcentral is "partial 18S ribosomal RNA". It matches the Rfam family "Eukaryotic small subunit ribosomal RNA", at positions 592 to 976 of the family's 1831-position model. The record is from RNAcentral.